UACGAAGGGGGCUAGCGUUGCUCGGAAUCAUUGGGCGUAAAGCGCGCGUAGGCGGUCAGGUAAGUCCGGUGUGAAAGUCAAAGGCUCAACCUUUGAAUGCCGCUGGAUACUGCCUGACUUGAGUUCGGGAGAGGUGAGUGGAACUGCGAGUGUAGAGGUGAAAUUCGUAGAUAUUCGCAAGAACACCAGUGGCGAAGGCGGCUCACUGGCCCGAUACUGACGCUGAGGCACGAAAGCGUGGGGAGCAAACAGG
This 253-nucleotide ribosomal RNA is filed under the name uncultured bacterium. RNAcentral describes it as "partial 16S ribosomal RNA". It matches the Rfam family "Bacterial small subunit ribosomal RNA", at positions 524 to 776 of the family's 1533-position model. The record is from RNAcentral.